RNAcentral lists this unclassified non-coding RNA (171 nucleotides) under uncultured Ascomycota. RNAcentral's name for it is "sequence contains ITS1". The record is from RNAcentral. Lineage: Eukaryota; Fungi; Ascomycota.
UAGAGAUCCUGCCCUCACGGGUAGACCUCCAACCCAUGUGUAUUUAUACCUCGUUGCUUCGGCAGGCCGUCUGGGCUUCGGCUUAGCCACGGGCUUCGGCUCGUGAGUGCCUGCCAGAAGACAUUCAAACUCUUGAUAUAAUUGUCGUCUGAGUAAAAACUUAAUAAGUUA